RNAcentral lists this long non-coding RNA (883 nucleotides) under Salvator merianae (Argentine black and white tegu). RNAcentral describes it as "lncRNA (ENSSMRG00000002432.1)". Lineage: Eukaryota; Metazoa; Chordata; Lepidosauria; Squamata; Teiidae. The record is from RNAcentral.
UGUGUAAUGUUUGUUAAACACAGUAAAAUAAAGGCCUGAAGUGAACUUUACAAGAAGAGUCCUACACUCAGAUUCCAAGUGCAGAAGAAGCCAUCCAGCGAAGCAUAAAGGUGAUUGAUCAAUGAAUGGAGCUACCUCAAUGAUUGCUUGUCAGAGAUGUGGUUUCUUGCUCAGCCUGCAGUCAUGCCCUCCCUGUCUUCAUUGGUCCUCUGACUAUGUUUUAAUAGCUGGUAUUUGUGAUGGGGGCAUCUGAUCCACUGCUUGAGUUAAAUAUAGCCUUGUCUAGUGUAAGAAGAAGAUUUAAUGGGAAAUGGUUGGCAUUCUUUCUAAAGCAGAGAGAGAAAGAGAGAGAGAGACAUAAACACAUCCAACCAGUGAGAGGGAGAAAGCAAGCAAACAAGCAAGACAGACCAGAAGGAAAGACCGUGGACAAAAGAUCUGCACUCUGUACCUUGGAAUUCUAGAGCUUGCAGCAAGCAUGGUUGUUCACAGCCGAAUUGCCUUGGGAUUUUAUUUUCAGCUCCUUUUUUGCUUUGCUCUUUCUCGAUCCUAUUUUGAUGACAGCCUCUUCUCACUUUCUGCAGCAGCCCUUUCUUGCUUGAAACAGAAGAAGCAAAUUAAUAACAGAGCCUGCUCUCUCUUUCCCCUUCCACCACCUCCUCCACCACCUCCAUUAUUUCCUCCACCACAUUUCAUUCAGGGAUGGAAUUCUGUAUCAUCAUUUCUGGAUUGGAACCAUUUAUGUUCAAAUCUUCAAAUUGUGCAGUCUCCAUCUGUAGAAUCAUGCUCUCCAGGACCUCCUGGACCCCAGGGCCCACAAGGUAUUCCUGGUAUGAAAGGACCAAAGGGAGAAAAGGUAAGUUUGCUUAUUUUAAAGUGUACA